Molecule: ribosomal RNA, 539 nt
Filed under: uncultured eukaryote
Lineage: Eukaryota
Description: SSU rRNA
Rfam family: Eukaryotic small subunit ribosomal RNA
Source: RNAcentral
UUGCAGUUAAAAAGCUCGUAGUUGGAUUUCGGAACCGGCCGAUUGGUCCGUCCUCUGGAUCGUGUACUGAUCGGUCUGUUCUUCUUCGCGAAGACCGCGUGUGCUCUUAACUGAGUGGGCGUGGGAUUCGCGACGUUUACUUUGAAAAAAUUAGAGUGUUCAAAGCAGGCAGUCGCUUGAAUAUCUCAGCAUGGAAUAAUAGAAUAGGACUUUGGUCUUAUUUUGUUGGUUUCCGAGACCGAAGUAAUGAUUAAUAGGGACAGUUGGGGGCAUUCGUAUUUCAUUGUCAGAGGUGAAAUUCUUGGAUUUAUGAAAGACGAACUUCUGCGAAAGCAUUUGCCAAGGAUGUUUUCAUUAAUCAAGAACGAAAGUUGGAGGCUCGAAGACGAUCAGAUACCGUCCUAGUUCCAACCAUAAACGAUGCCGUCUGCGGAUCGGAGGUCGCUCAUGUAAGGCUCCUUCGGCACGCUAUGAGAAAUCAAAGACUUCGGGUUCCCGGGGGGAGUAUGUUCGCAAGAAUGAAACUUGAAGGGAAUUGG